UGGUGAUAACGGGUAACGGAGAAUUAGGGUUCGAUUCCGGAGACGGUGCCUGAGAGAUGGCAACGACUUCCAAGGAAGGCAGCAGGCGCGCAAAUUACCCAAUCCGAAUACCGGGAGGUAGUGACAAUAAAUAACAAUACCGGUCCUAAAAAGGUCUGGUAAUUGGAAUGAGUACAAUUUAAACCCCUUAACAAGGAACAAUUGGAGGACAAGUCUGGUGCCAGCACCCGCGGUAAUUCCAGCUCCAAUAGCGUAUAUUAAAGUUGUUGCAGUUAAAAAGCUCGUAGUUGGAUUUUGGGGUGUUUAAUUUCAAAUGAGGAUCGGUCUGCCUCCACGUGAGGUGUGUACUGUCCUCGACACCCUUCCAGCGGGUCUUGGUUCCAUCUGCCCUUAACUGGGUGGGUGGAUACCUCCCGCUCGUUUACUUUGAAAAAAUUAGAGUGUUUAAAGCAGGCGGUCUCCGCCACUGAAUACAUUAGCAUGGGAUAAUGGAAUAGGAUUGUCUUUCCGAUUUCGUUGGUUUCCGGAACGGACGAUAAUGAUUAAUAGAGAUAGUUGGGGACAUUUAUAUUCCAUGGUCAGAGGUGAAAUUCUUGGAUUCAUGGAAGAUAAACAAGUGCGAAAG
This 625-nucleotide ribosomal RNA is filed under the name uncultured ciliate. RNAcentral describes it as "bacterial SSU rRNA". It matches the Rfam family "Eukaryotic small subunit ribosomal RNA", at positions 347 to 951 of the family's 1831-position model. Lineage: Eukaryota; Ciliophora. The record is from RNAcentral.